Amphiprion ocellaris (clown anemonefish) is the source of this 1039-nucleotide long non-coding RNA. NCBI's taxonomy places the organism in Eukaryota, Metazoa, Chordata, Actinopteri, Pomacentridae. The record is from Ensembl.
GUUUUCUUUGAAAAAAAAAUCAUCAUGAAUUUUGGCGCAAAAAAAACGCCUUACUAUACUAUGUCGAAAAAAAAUGCGAUUUUUCAAACAUGUUGUACAAACGUGCCAUAUGAUGAAAUAAUGUAAAGGAGGCCGUGAAAAACACUCCAGAAAGGUUUUCUUUAAAAAAAAAAAAAAAUCAUCAUGAAUUUUGGCGCAAAAAAACGCCAUAGUAUACUAUGUCGAAAAAAAUAAUGCAAAUUUUCAACAUGUUGUAAAAACGUGCCAUAUGAUGAAAUAAUGUAAAGGAGGCCGUGAAAAACACUCCAGAAAGGUUUUCUUUGAUAAAAAAAAAAUCAUCAUGAAUUUUGGCGCAAAAAAACGCCAUAUAUACUAUGUCGAAAAAAAAUGUCACUUUUCAACAUGUUGUAAAAACGUGCCAUAUGAUGAAAUAAUGUAAAGGAGGCCGUGAAAAACACUCCGGAAAGGUUUUCUUUGAAAAAAAAAAUCAUCAUGAAUUUUGGCGCAAAAAAACGCCAUAGUAUACUAUGUCGAAAAAAAUAAUGCAAUUUUUCAACAUGUUGUAAAAACGUGCCAUAUGAUGAAAUAAUGUAAAGGAGGCCGUGAAAAACACUCCAGAAAGGUUUUCUUUGAAAAAAAAAAAUCAUCAUGAAUUUUGGCGCAAAAAAACGCCAUAGUAUACUAUGUCGAAAAAAAAUGCGAUUUUUCAAACAUGUUGUAAAAACGUGCCAUAUGAUGAAAUAAUGUAAAGGAGGCCGUGAAAAACACUCCAGAAAGGUUUUCUUUGAUAAAAAAAAAUCAUCAUGAAUUUUGGCGCAAAAAAAACGCCAUAGUAUACUAUGUCGAAAAAAAAUGUCACUUUUCAAACAUGUUGUAAAAACGUGCCAUAUGAUGAAAUAAUGUAAAGGAGGCCGUGAAAAACACUCCAGAAAGGUUUUCUUUGAAAAAAAAAUCAUCAUGAAUUUUGGCGCAAAAAAACGCCUUACUAUACUAUGUCGAAAAAAAAUGCGAUUUUUCAACAUGUUGUAAAAACGUGCCA